Molecule: small nucleolar RNA, 131 nt
Filed under: Sciurus vulgaris (Eurasian red squirrel)
Lineage: Eukaryota; Metazoa; Chordata; Mammalia; Rodentia; Sciuridae
Description: Small nucleolar RNA SNORA31 (ENSSVLG00005020478.1)
Rfam family: Small nucleolar RNA SNORA31
About the family: ACA31 (SNORA31) belongs to the H/ACA class of snoRNAs which are thought to guide the sites of modification of uridines to pseudouridines. ACA31 is predicted to guide the pseudouridylation of U3713 in 28S rRNA and U218 in 18S rRNA.
Source: Rfam by way of RNAcentral
GAGCACUCUACCAACUGAGCUAUCUCCCCAGCCCUGCUGUUGUUCUUUUGGUUUGCAGUAGGAUGCAAGAGAAAAUAAUCCCUGCACAUUCUGUCUUCGUGGCAGUACAGAUUAAAUUGGGGAAUACAUCU